AGUGAACGCUGGCGGUAGGCCUAACACAUGCAAGUCGAACGGCAGCACAGUAAGAGCUUGCUCUUACGGGUGGCGAGUGGCGGACGGGUGAGGAAUACAUCGGAAUCUACUUUUUCGUGGGGGAUAACGUAGGGAAACUUACGCUAAUACCGCAUACGACCUACGGGUGAAAGCAGGGGAUCUUCGGACCUUGCGCGAUUGAAUGAGCCGAUGUCGGAUUAGCUAGUUGGCGGGGUAAAGGCCCACCAAGGCGACGAUCCGUAGCUGGUCUGAGAGGAUGAGCAGCCACAAUGGAACUGAGACACGGUCCAGACUCCUACGGGAGGCAGCAGUGGGGAAUAUUGGACAAUGGGCGCAAGCCUGAUCCAGCCAUACCGCGUGGGUGAAGAAGGCCUUCGGGUUGUAAAGCCCUUUUGUUGGGAAAGAAAAGCAGCAGGUUAAUACCCCGCUGUUCUGACGGUACCCAAAGAAUAAGCACCGGCUAACUUCGUG
This 492-nucleotide ribosomal RNA is filed under the name uncultured bacterium. RNAcentral describes it as "partial 16S ribosomal RNA". It matches the Rfam family "Bacterial small subunit ribosomal RNA", at positions 29 to 507 of the family's 1533-position model. The record is from RNAcentral.